This 322-nucleotide ribosomal RNA is filed under the name uncultured eukaryote. Its description in RNAcentral is "partial 18S ribosomal RNA". It matches the Rfam family "Eukaryotic small subunit ribosomal RNA", at positions 1470 to 1796 of the family's 1831-position model. The record is from RNAcentral.
CCCUUAGAUGUUCUGGGCCGCACGCGUGCUACACUGAGUGGAUCAGCGGGUCAGGUUGCGCGAAAGUGUUUCCUAAUCUUUAAAUCCGCUCGUGAUGGGGAUUGACGGUUGCAAUUUUCCGUCAUGAACGAGGAAUACCUUGUAAGCGCGGGUCAUCAUCCCGCGCUGAAUACGUCCCUGCCCUUUGUACACACCGCCCGUCGCUCCUACCGAUUGAGUGGUCCGGUGAGGCUUUGGGAUCUGGGCGGAAAGAGCGUUUCGCUGUUUCUGCCCGGAAAACUCAGGCGAACCUUAUCAUUUAGAGGAAGGAGAAGUCGUAACA